Leucoraja erinaceus (little skate) is the source of this 1911-nucleotide long non-coding RNA. RefSeq lists it as uncharacterized. The transcript has 2 exons. The record is from RefSeq and is a predicted model, not a curated record. Lineage: Eukaryota; Metazoa; Chordata; Chondrichthyes; Rajiformes; Rajidae.
UUAUCCUUCACCAACUUCCUUAUACAGCACCACACACUAAAGGAGUAGCUCUCAAAUUGCAUUUUUCAAAUUCCUGUCAUUGACUGUAAAGUUAAUCACUUUUGGAACAGUUUUAAGCCUCUAUUUUGACAUUCUUUGUGUUGAUUUACAGUCUCACUUCAAGUACAGGUGCACAACCUUUUAUCCGAAAGCCUUGGGACCAGACACUUGUCGGAUUUCGGACAUUUUCGGAUUUCCGAAUGGAAGAUUUUUAGCGUAGAUAAGGUGAUGACAUCCCAUCUGCCUGCUGGCAGUGCCCAGCUAAAUGGGCAUCUCCUUGGCUCUUGCUGAUUCAGGAAAUGAGUGUUUCAAUUUGAGUAUUUCAGAGAAGCCUAAUAAAUCAUUGCAAAUCAAAGAGUGAUUUCUGUUCUUACAAUCUUGCCUUGGUGUGCAGAAUGCUACAGCAGUCAAAUAAGUGGAAAAGGACAAAAAGUACAUGAGUAACUCAGCAGGUCAUGCAGCAUCUCUUGAGAAUGUCACCCAUGAUCUCCAGAGAUGCUGCUUGACUUGCUGAGUUACUUCAGCACGUUGUGUCCCUUUGUAUAGUAAUCAGCAUCUGCAAUUCCUUGUUUCUAUACUCAAGACUAUUCAAUCCAUUGUGCCUGUGCCAGCCACCAUUUACUGCUCGUCUCUGAGCGUGAGGAGAAAUAUUUGAUGAAUGGAGUGUCACCCUUUGGAACAAGGAAUGCCCUUUAAUUUCCUUUACUUACUUUGUAACAUUUUAAUGGUCUUGCAUUCUGUAAUUCAUUCCUAAAAUCCAGAGCUAUUUUGCCAUGAAAAAUUAUAUAUUUAUCAAGAUUUUGUUAGAACCAAAGAUUAACUAUGGCCUGACACAAUUAUUUUUUUUAAUUGGCUUGUUUGUAAAGUCUACGUUGAGUGAUUUGAACGUAGAGAAUAAUUAAUGUUGAGACUCUCCUGAUAUCUUGCAGUGGAUAUUGGCAAGUGUUUGUGUCAUUUUGCUGCGCAAUAACAUUUGGAUUGUAUUUUUGAUGGACUUGUAUAAGUGCAGUUUUGGACUGAAAUUACAGAAGAACAGAAUGAAUUUGGUGGAAUUGGUCAAGUUUCUUUCCACCAGCUCUUUGUUUUGUUUGAAAAUUUUUAAUUUUUUAAAACAUAUUGUCUUUUGUAUUUACCCCGAAAACUUCACCGGGAACAGCUUUCUCGAUUUUAUUUGCCUGGUCACAAACUGGGAUGUGUUUGCAUAGCAUCAACAUGUUUGUCGAUAGACUGCUGGAGUAACUCAGUGGGUCAGGUAGCAUCUGUGGAAAGGCAGUAUCUCUCUCUAGAGAUGCUGCCUGAUCCGCUACUCCAGCAUUUUGUGUCUAUCUUUGGUAUAAACCAGCAUCUGCAGUUCUUUCCUACACACUCAGCAUGUUUGUAAUUGACUAAGCAACAUCAAAAACCUCCUAAACAUCUCUUGCCAUUCAAAAUCUAUUUAUAAGCAGAAACAAAGAUAGUUGGUCACUGAUUUCAUGUGCUGAUUGAGUGAAAGCUUCAGAGGGAUCCAUUAUUUCAAAAAGAUUACAGUUGCCAUUUACUAUAGCCUGGAAAUUUGUAGAAGUGACCAUGUGUGAAAUUAAUGCAGUAUUUUAGCAUUAAAAUUGCAAUAUGGUCACACAUUUAUCUUCACACAGCAAUUAUCACAACCUUGCACCAUUGCACAUCUGCAUUUAAUUUGUUGACAUACUUUGGCCUCUUCCUAUAAUCCUAACUGUAAUUGCACUGGUUUUGUUCCUCUUUACUGAAGCUGAAUGUGUGUGUUCAUCCCAUUGCUGAAUCCAGUCUGGGUUUUAUCUUUCUUGGGCAUAAAUCUGUGGGGCUACUUAUAUUUGUUGUAAAAUACCCAAACUCAAUAAAUACUUCCAGGUAGAA